UCCGGCUUGCCACCGGCAGUUCCACUAGAGUGCCCAGCUUAACCUGAUGGCAACUAGUAGCGAGGGUUGCGCUCGUUGCGGGACUUAACCCAACAUCUCACGACACGAGCUGACGACAGCCAUGCAGCACCUGUGCACCGGCCCCUUGCGGGAUACCGGCAUUUCUACCGGCGUUGAGAAGCCGUUCGAGCCCAGGUAAGGUUCUUCGCGUUGCGUCGAAUUGAACCACAUGCUCCACCGCUUGUGCGGGCCCCCGUCAAUUCCUUUGAGUUUCAGCCUUGCGACUGUACUCCCAGGCGGCAUAUUUAACGCGUUAGCUCCGGCACAGACAGAAUGAACUGCCCACACCAAAUAUGCAUCGUUUAGGGCGUGGACUAC
RNAcentral lists this unclassified non-coding RNA (378 nucleotides) under uncultured Bryobacterales bacterium. Its description in RNAcentral is "contains 16S-23S intergenic spacer region". The record is from RNAcentral. Lineage: Bacteria; Pseudomonadati; Acidobacteriota; Terriglobia; Bryobacterales.